RNAcentral lists this ribosomal RNA (500 nucleotides) under Fusarium sp. F8 NEIST-DRL. RNAcentral's name for it is "eukaryotic LSU rRNA". The stretch from base 155 to 308 matches the Rfam family "5.8S ribosomal RNA". The record is from RNAcentral. Lineage: Eukaryota; Fungi; Ascomycota; Sordariomycetes; Hypocreales; Nectriaceae.
GGGGGUCUUACGAGUUUCACUCCCAACCCCUGUGAACAUACCUAUACGUUGCCUCGGCGGAUCAGCCCGCGCCCUGUAAAACGGGACGGCCCGCCCGAGGACCCUAAACUCUGUUUUUAGUGGAACUUCUGAGUAAAACAAACAAAUAAAUCAAAACUUUCAACAACGGAUCUCUUGGUUCUGGCAUCGAUGAAGAACGCAGCAAAAUGCGAUAAGUAAUGUGAAUUGCAGAAUUCAGUGAAUCAUCGAAUCUUUGAACGCACAUUGCGCCCGCCAGUAUUCUGGCGGGCAUGCCUGUUCGAGCGUCAUUUCAACCCUCAAGCUCAGCUUGGUGUUGGGACUCGCGGUAACCCGCGUUCCCCAAAUCGAUUGGCGGUCACGUCGAGCUUCCAUAGCGUAGUAAUCAUACACCUCGUUACUGGUAAUCGUCGCGGCCACGCCGUUAAACCCCAACUUCUGAAUGUGGCCUCGGAUCAGGAAGAAAUACCCGCUGAACUUAA